This 327-nucleotide ribosomal RNA is filed under the name uncultured eukaryote. Its description in RNAcentral is "partial 18S ribosomal RNA". It matches the Rfam family "Eukaryotic small subunit ribosomal RNA", at positions 1470 to 1796 of the family's 1831-position model. The record is from RNAcentral.
CCCUUAGAUGUUCUGGGCCGCACGCGCGCUACACUGACGAAUGCAACGAGCUUAUAACCUUGGCCGAAAGGUCUGGGUAAUCUCCAAAUUUCGUCGUGAUGGGGAUAGAUUAUUGCAAUUAUUAAUCUUCAACGAGGAAUGCCUAGUAAGCGCAAGUCAUCAGCUUACGUUGAUUACGUCCCUGCCCUUUGUACACACCGCCCGUCGCUCCUACCGAUUGAAUGGUCCGGUGAAGCGUUCGGACCGUGGCCUUUGGACGGUUCGCCGUCUGUUGGCUGCGGGAAGUUCGUUAAACCUUAUCAUUUAGAGGAAGGAGAAGUCGUANCA